Molecule: ribosomal RNA, 241 nt
Filed under: Klebsiella pneumoniae
Lineage: Bacteria; Pseudomonadati; Pseudomonadota; Gammaproteobacteria; Enterobacterales; Enterobacteriaceae
Description: partial 23S ribosomal RNA
Rfam family: Bacterial large subunit ribosomal RNA
Source: RNAcentral
GGUGAGAAUCCCGUCCACCGAUUGACUAAGGUUUCCAGAGGAAGGCUCGUCCGCUCUGGGUUAGUCGGGUCCUAAGCUGAGGCCGACAGGCGUAGGCGAUGGAUAACAGGUUGAUAUUCCUGUACCACCUAUAAUCGUUUUAAUCGAUGGGGGGACGCAGUAGGAUAGGCGAAGCGUGCGAUUGGAUUGCACGUCUAAGCAGUAAGGCUGAGUAUUAGGCAAAUCCGGUACUCGUUAAGGC